RNAcentral lists this ribosomal RNA (96 nucleotides) under Staphylococcus aureus. Its description in RNAcentral is "partial 16S ribosomal RNA". It matches the Rfam family "Bacterial small subunit ribosomal RNA", at positions 1445 to 1533 of the family's 1533-position model. The record is from RNAcentral. RNAcentral also lists the same sequence under 4 other names. Lineage: Bacteria; Bacillati; Bacillota; Bacilli; Caryophanales; Staphylococcaceae.
GGAGCUAGCCGUCGAAGGUGGGACAAAUGAUUGGGGUGAAGUCGUAACAAGGUAGCCGUAUCGGAAGGUGCGGCUGGAUCACCUCCUUUCUAAGGA